Molecule: ribosomal RNA, 468 nt
Filed under: uncultured bacterium
Lineage: Bacteria
Description: partial 16S ribosomal RNA
Rfam family: Bacterial small subunit ribosomal RNA
Source: RNAcentral
GACGAACGCUGGCGGCGUGCUUGACACAUGCAAGUCGAACGGAAAGGCCCUGCUUUUGUGGGGUGCUCGAGUGGCGAACGGGUGAGUAACACGUGAGUAACCUGCCCUUGACUUUGGGAUAACUUCAGGAAACUGGGGCUAAUACCGGAUAGGAGCUCCUGCUGCAUGGUGGGGGUUGGAAAGUUUCGGCGGUUGGGGAUGGACUCGCGGCUUAUCAGCUUGUUGGUGGGGUAGUGGCUUACCAAGGCUUUGACGGGUAGCCGGCCUGAGAGGGUGACCGGCCACAUUGGGACUGAGAGACGGCCCAGACUCCUACGGGAGGCAGCAGUGGGGAAUAUUGCACAAUGGGCGGAAGCCUGAUGCAGCAACGCCGCGUGCGGGAUGACGGCCUUCGGGUUGUAAACCGCUUUCGCCUGUGACGAAGCGUGAGUGACGGUAAUGGGCAAAGAAGCACCGGCUAACUACGUG